This 373-nucleotide ribosomal RNA is filed under the name uncultured organism. RNAcentral's name for it is "partial 16S ribosomal RNA". It matches the Rfam family "Bacterial small subunit ribosomal RNA", at positions 527 to 896 of the family's 1533-position model. The record is from RNAcentral.
GGAAGGGGCGAGCGUUGUUCGGAAUUAUUGGGCGUAAAGGGCGCGUAGGCGGUUUCGUAUGUCCGCUGUGAAAGUGCACGGCUCAACCGUGAAGGGUCGGUGGAAACUGCGAAACUUGAGGCUGGGAGGGGCUGGUGGAAUUCCCUGUGUAGCGGUGAAAUGCGCAGAUAUAGGGGAGAACACUCGUGGCGAAGGCGGCCAGCUGGACCAGUUCUGACGCUGAGGCGUGAGAGCGUGGGGAGCAAACAGGGAUUAGAUACCCUGGUAGUCCACGCCGUAAACGAUGGGCACUAGGUGUUGGCGGGUUCUAUCUCGCCAGUGCCGGCGCUAACGCAGUAAGUGCCCCCGCCUGGGGAGUACGGUCGCAAGGCUG